UGCAGCCGAGCGGUAUGGAUAGCUUGCUAUCCAGAGAGCGGCGUACGGGUGCGUAACACGUGUGCAACCUGCCUUUAUCUGGGGGAUAGCCUUUCGAAAGGAAGAUUAAUACCCCAUAAUAUGGUGUCCGGCAUCGGUCGCCAUUGAAAGCCUCGGCGGAUAGAGAUGGGCACGCGCAAGAUUAGAUAGUUGGCGGGGUAACGGCCCACCAAGUCGAUGAUCUUUAGGGGUCCUGAGAGGGAGAUCCCCCACACUGGUACUGAGACACGGACCAGACUCCUACGGGAGGCAGCAGUGAGGAAUAUUGGACAAUGGGUGGAAGCCUGAUCCAGCCAUCCCGCGUGAAGGAUGACGGUUCUAUGGAUUGUAAACUUCUUUUGUACAGGGAUAAACCUGCCCUCGUGAGGGCAGCUGAAGGUACUGUACGAAUAAGCACCGGCUAACUCCGUGCCAGCAGCCGCGGUAAUACGGAGGGUGCGAGCGUUAUCCGGAUUUAUUGGGUUUAAAGGGUCCGUAGGCGGGCCUGUAAGUCAGUGGUGAAAUCUCAUAGCUUAACUAUGAAACUGCCAUUGAUACUGCAGGCCUUGAGUAAAUUUGAAGUGGCUGGAAUAAGUAGUGUAGCGGUGAAAUGCAUAGAUAUUACUUAGAACACCGAUUGCGAAGGCAGGUCACUAAGAUUUAACUGACGCUGAUGGACGAAAGCGUGGGGAGCGAACAGGAUUAGAUACCCUGGUAGUCCACGCCGUAAACGAUGCUAACUCGUUUUUGGAUCUUCGGGUUCAGAGACCAAGCGAAAGUGAUAAGUUAGCCACCUGGGGAGUACGUCCGCAAGGAUGAAACUCAAAGGAAUUGACGGGGGCCCGCACAAGCGGUGGAUUAUGUGGUUUAAUUCGAUGAUACGCGAGGAACCUUACCAAGACUUAAAUGGGAAUUGACAGAUUUAGAAAUAGAUCCUCCUUCGGGCAAUUUUCAAGGUGCUGCAUGGUUGUCGUCAGCUCGUGCCGUGAGGUGUUAGGUUAAGUCCUGCAACGAGCGCAACCCCUGCCAACAGUUGCCAUCAUUCAGUUGGGGACUCUGUUGGGACUGCCUACGCAAGUAGAGAGGAAGGUGGGGAUGACGUCAAAUCAUCACGGCCCUUACGUCUUGGGCCACACACGUAAUACAAUGGCCGGUACAGAGGGCAGCUACCUGGUGACAGGAUGCGAAUCUCGAAAGCCGGUCUCAGUUCGGAUUGGAGUCUGCAACUCGACUCUAUGAAGCUGGAAUCGCUAGUAAUCGCGCAUCAGCCAUGGCGCGGUGAAUACGUUCCCGGGCCUUGUACACACCGCCCGUCAAGCCAUGGAAGUCUGGGGUACCUGAAGUCGG
Molecule: ribosomal RNA, 1365 nt
Filed under: uncultured bacterium
Lineage: Bacteria
Description: bacterial SSU rRNA
Rfam family: Bacterial small subunit ribosomal RNA
Source: RNAcentral